Molecule: non-coding RNA, 1459 nt
Organism: Chlorocebus sabaeus (green monkey)
Lineage: Eukaryota; Metazoa; Chordata; Mammalia; Primates; Cercopithecidae
Source: RefSeq, a predicted model, not a curated record
CAGCCCACUUCGCACUCGCCGCAGUCUCUGUUGGUCGGGCCCGAGCACGUCUUGCAGGACUCGUCGCAGGCUGGAAGGCAAAGGCGGGCCUGGGUACGAACCCCACUCUCAGGGAUUUGACAGGUGCUGCUCUCCGGGCCGGUGCUGGGCCCGCACGGUACCUCCAGGACCUGUGCACUGCGUGGCCCAUCACAACUCCAGGUCGCGGCAGACCUCGAACUAGAGAGGAAGGUGAGUAGCUUCUCCCUUCUGGGGGCUGUUAUGGGACAGGAAGCGCCCCUAGCAACCUCUGCCUCUAUCCUCUGACGUUUUAAUUCAUCCUUCUGGGCCCCCGAAGCUUCCCUGGACAUCCGGGGUUAAGAUAUUAGCAGGCCCCUGUUCCCAUCUAGGCAGGUAGCUCCAGCAAGGGGCAGUUGUCAUCCUGCCUCACCCCGGGGCCGGCCCAGGCGAAGCCGUACCUGUGCAGACGCUGUGGGUCUCGUUCCGGAGCGAGCUGAAGUAGCCGUCCAUGCAGUCAGUGCACAGUGGGCCCUGGUACCCCACGUGGCACCGGCAGGACCCGUCACCCUGUCUGCUGCCGUCUCCGCUGCAGUGGCCAUUCCCGCUGCAGGGCCUCUGGGACCCACCCUGGCACGCUUUGGGGGACACAAAACCAUGCUCAGAGCACACCUGGUGGUGACUGGUGGGGUGUUCUCAGAGAGAACGCACUGCACCCAAACCCUGUACGAUUCUGAGGACGUACAUGAGCCUGCAGGCUUGGAGUGGGUGUUGGGGGAAACUGAUUUCCUGGGGUCUGCAGGGCUGGCGGUGGAUGGCCUGAGUGGAGCAAGCCACAGGCUGCUGGACUUCACUAAGGCCACGUGCUGCAUGAUGACGUUUAGGUCAACAAGGGACCCUGCAUGGCACAGCUGUCCCCUAAGAUGAUAAUAAAGCUGAGCAGCUCCUAUUGCCUAGUGACAUCACGAUACGCCUUAUUACCUGUUCUAUGUUUAGAUGUAUUCAGGUGACACACUCUUACCACGUCACAAUGGCCCACAGUACUCAGGACCCUCACGUGCCACGCGGGUGUACGGCCUGGGAGCAGCAGGCCCUGCCAGGCGGCCUAGGUGCGGAGCGGCUGCACCACCUAGGCGUGUGGAGUGCACUCUGCCAUGUUUGCACCAUGACAAAGUCGCCUGAUGAUGCAUUUCUCAGAACACGCCUGGUCGUUACACAUGACUGCACUUUGUGUGGCUUUGGGCAGCCUCAGCUGAAACAUGGUGAUGGGGACACCGAUGCAUCAGGGGCGGAGACUGCAGGGAGAGUGGGAACAUCAGCUGCAGCCUCCAGUGCUCGCCAGGGAUAGACGCAGAGGCUGGCAGGAGGCUGACGGGGGGCAGGUCGGGGGGUCUAAACCUGAAACUUCUGCUGCCUGAUCCUGCUUGACCACGUGAUUGCCUUUUAUAAACGUUAAACCGUG